AGUCCAGGUAAUGGAGCAGAGACUGGAGCAGAGACAAGUUGUUCCCACUGAGCUCUCCUCAGAUUACAGAUUGGGAGUGGCAAAUCAAAGGCAUUGCAGCCUCUUUCAUCACUGCCGAUUGCUGAUGCCAACCAUGUGCCAAGUGCUUAAUACGUCACCUUAAAUCUUCUCAUCCACCCUCAGAGUAGCUGCAGCAUCAACCCAGUGCCCUGACUUUCAAGACGACUAUGAAAACACCCCAACUGCUGCUAAAUUACCAGCAACAAGGAUCUGGAAUUUUCCUGACAAGAGCAGUGCCUAUCCUGAGGCAAUCGUAUUUCUCCUUGACUUCUCUCCAGUAUCAGCUUGUUGCUUGACACCCCUGCACAGCCAACUGUGUAAUGUGGGUGAGUCUAGCUGCAUUUUCUUCAGACACAAGCCUGGCUACCCAGUGCUAAGGUGACAUCAGGCCAGGCCACAUUUGCAGCAUCACAGAAAAUGAUGCUCUCUCCUGCCAAGUCCCAUUUUUUGGGAGGAGGAAAUGGAUUAGGUCCUGGAGGUUGUCAUAAAUGCAUCAAGUGACUUUCUCAGCAUCAUCUGAAACAUGCAGCCAUCCAGCCCAGAACACAACAAGAAUAGAGUUGAUGAGCCCUCUUCUCCUCAACAAACACCUGUGAUGAGAACAUUGAGGCAAGGGAACAGGUGGCCAAAAAUACCCUCAUAGCCUUGAGAAAGUCCAUCUUGAUGUUAUCCAGUGAAACUUAAUGGCAACGCAGGAGCCAGGGAGCCUGCUUUAUUUUGGAAAUGAAAAAGUCAGUACAGUUGAUGAGAAUUUGAAGAGAAAAGACACAACAAAGUAGAAGGCUAACACCAAUUCCAAACAAUAGUAAAGAAUCAUAAUAAAGUUACUAUGAAUCAAAAUA
This 902-nucleotide long non-coding RNA is filed under the name Homo sapiens (human). Its description in RNAcentral is "long intergenic non-protein coding RNA 1505". The record is from RNAcentral. Lineage: Eukaryota; Metazoa; Chordata; Mammalia; Primates; Hominidae.